GUACUGGCAUUAGUUGGUUUCUCCCUUCUGACGAACCAUGAUGUCAUUUAUUUGGUGUUGUGGGGAAUCAGGACUGUUACUUUGAAAAAAUUAGAGUGUUUAAAGCAGGCUCACGCUUGAAUACAUUAGCAUGGAAUAAUGAAAUAGGACGUUUGAUUCUAUUUUGUUGGUUUCUAGGAUCGACGUAAUGAUUAAUAGGGAUAGUUGGGGGCAUUAGUAUUCAAUUGUCAGAGGUGAAAUUCUUGGAUUUAUUGAAGACUAACUACUGCGAAAGCAUUUGCCAAGGAUGUUUUCAUUAAUCAAGAACGAAAGUUAGGAGAUCGAAGACGAUCAGAUACCGUCGUAGUCUUAACCAUAAACUAUGCCGACUAGGGAUCGGAUGAUGUUAAUUUUUUAAUGACUCAUUCGGCGCCUUACG
RNAcentral lists this ribosomal RNA (418 nucleotides) under uncultured Glomeromycotina. RNAcentral's name for it is "SSU rRNA". It matches the Rfam family "Eukaryotic small subunit ribosomal RNA", at positions 676 to 1092 of the family's 1831-position model. Lineage: Eukaryota; Fungi; Glomeromycota. The record is from RNAcentral.